UACAGAGGGUGCAAGCGUUAAUCGGAAUUACUGGGCGUAAAGGGCGCGUAGGUGGUUGAUUAAGUCAGAUGUGAAAACCCCGGGCUUAACUUGGGAAUUGCAUUUGAAACUGAUUGACUAGAGUUUGGGAGAGGGAAGUGGAAUUUCCGGUGUAGCGGUGAAAUGCGUAGAUAUCGGAAGGAACAUCAGUGGCGAAGGCGACUUCCUGGCCCGAUACUGACACUGAGGCGCGAAAGCGUGGGGAGCGAACAGG
This 253-nucleotide ribosomal RNA is filed under the name uncultured bacterium. Its description in RNAcentral is "partial 16S ribosomal RNA". It matches the Rfam family "Bacterial small subunit ribosomal RNA", at positions 524 to 776 of the family's 1533-position model. The record is from RNAcentral. RNAcentral also lists the same sequence under 1 other name.